This 561-nucleotide small RNA is filed under the name Arabidopsis thaliana (thale cress). RNAcentral's name for it is "ATSL239500". The record is from RNAcentral. Lineage: Eukaryota; Viridiplantae; Streptophyta; Magnoliopsida; Brassicales; Brassicaceae.
AUUUUAAAUUUCUAUUAGAAAGAACUUGAACCUUAUUUCAAGUGAACAUUAAAAAGAAUUGUAACCCUACCUUAUUUCUAUUAUUAUGAAUAUGUGUAAAGUAAAUUUUUUUACAAUAAGCAUGUAUAAAGUAACAUAUUUUUGUUCUUUUCUUAUAGCCUUGUAAAUCAUAGGGACGGAUCUAGUUUAGAAUAAAGUGUUGCAUAAGUUCUUCGACUAACAUGUGAGUCCAUUUUUGUGAGUUUUGCAUAACUUUUGCGCCUUCGACAAUUUGAAUUUUAUGCAUAAGUGCUUUGACUAAUUUAUAUGUUUUGUCUAAGUGAUUCGACAUUUCGACUAAGUGAUGUGAAUUGUGUCAUUCGUCGUCGUUGUCGCAUCCGGAAGCGUGUUUGUGGUUCUUGUGUCUUACUUGCCGGGUUAUGAAGUCCUUUGUUUCGAGAGAUCUGCUCUCAUCAUGAUAGAAGAUGGUAGAUGUUAUCUUUGGAUUGCCGCGGGUUGAAUUGUCGCGGGCAUCCUUCUUAAAUCUCAUUCACAUGUUCUUUUGAGGAAGAGUUUUUUUUG